RNAcentral lists this long non-coding RNA (1062 nucleotides) under Calidris pygmaea (Spoon-billed sandpiper). Its description in RNAcentral is "lncRNA (ENSCPGG00000014572.1)". The record is from RNAcentral. Lineage: Eukaryota; Metazoa; Chordata; Aves; Charadriiformes; Scolopacidae.
CUCUGGCGCAAUGCUUUUGAUCAUGAUCAUGCUGGGAGGUUUGAGAGCAACCUCUAGCUUCUCGUUUUUGCCCGCACUGCCUAAAGUUAAUGUGUGGGUAACUCUAGCAAACCUCACUGGACAAGACACUUUGUGUCUUGCUACUGCCUCUCCUAAUAACCCCUUUUCCACAUGCCUUGUGGGUUUGCCGCUGGAUGUAUGGCCAAUACCUGCAGCGGUCCAACAUACGUUUCCAAUUAGAAAUGUGACUGAUAAUUGGGAUGGGUGGACUCACUAUCUCCCAACCGCUAACCUAGAACCGCAAGAGAUUGAGCUUCUUGGAUCAGUAAAAAUGGAUUUUUGUGUAAAAUUCAACUACACGGGUAAGAAUCAGUCUAAGGCAUGGGAUGUUUCCCCUGUCCAUCCUGUGUUUAGAAACACCACUGCAUGGUGUAAUUAUACAUCAACAAACCUAUCUAAAUCUGGUCAAGUUCCCCUAUCCUUACCACCAGGAAUAUUCCUUAUUUGCGGGGACCGAGCAUGGCCCGCAAUCCCCUCUCAUAUUAAAGGAGGUCCAUGUAGCCUUGGACGCCUCUCUGUCUUAACUCCUAAUACCUCUACGAUUUUACAAUAUCGUCUUUCUCAUAGAACAAAGCGCAGUAUUCAUGCAUAUACCCCCAAUUGUGAUGAUAAUCUAGAUUUUUGGACUUUUAGUAAACGCUUUUCUGCCUCUCUCUUGUUACCUAGCGUGGCCGCUGGAAAGGCCUUGGCAACUCUGGAUAAACUUGGCUGCUGGCUUGCUAAACAGACUAACGCUAGUAGUAAUGCAUUAUCUGACUUUUUGUUAGACGUUGAUAGUGUUCAACAUGCUACACUGCAAAAUAGAGCUGCUAUAGAUUUUUUGUUAUUAGCACAAGGCCAUGGAUGUGAGGAUUUUGAGGGCAUGUGUUGUAUGAAUCUUUCUGAUCACUCAGAAUCAAUUCAUGCCAGUAUUCAACAGCUUAAAGCAGGAGUUUAAGCUGAUUCAAAGCAUUACUGUAGAGAUAUGUUUAUUCCUUUUUCUAUAUAUGUUUAUUGCAUGCC